Cebus imitator (Panamanian white-faced capuchin) is the source of this 2601-nucleotide long non-coding RNA. RefSeq lists it as uncharacterized. The transcript is spliced from 2 exons. NCBI's taxonomy places the organism in Eukaryota, Metazoa, Chordata, Mammalia, Primates, Cebidae. The record is from RefSeq and is a predicted model, not a curated record.
CCUCGAGAUUUGCUCACCUCAGCCUCCCAAAGUUCUAGGGACCACCACCUUCAUUCACCCGCACCCAAACCACCCUUCUUAAAGGGAUCCCAGUAGUUCCUAAGCAGUAUAGUAUUGAGUGAGGGGUGAGUAGAAAGGACAACACAGCACAGGGAGCAGACCCUUACAUUAUGGAAUAAGAAGGACCACACAAGAACAAUGGCAAGAAAAUGAGGGCUGACCUCAAGCCCUGACUUAGGGGUUUCAAAGAACACAUGAAUACUAGCAAGCAUUUGGGCAGUUUGAAAGCAUUCCCAAUGAAGGAGUCAGAAAUAUGGUUUGACACUCAUCUUUCCCAGAGAGGAAAGGCUAUCAGAGAUGUCAUACAGGCAACAGAAGCCUCUUGUCUUCAUCCUGGGCUUCCAGAACUUGGCUGUACUCUGCCAGUGGCACCCACCUCUUCCAAGAAACAGUCAUGUUCCUCCUCUUUGAGAAAAUCAAUGUCCCUGGAGGAGAUGAUGCCCACCAAGCGGCUCCCCAUCCGGCCUGUGUCUGUGAUUGGGAUACCGCAGAAACCAUGCCGGGCCUUCGCCUCAAAAACAUCCCGCACGCGAUCCUUGGGGCUGAGCACUACAGGGUCUGUGAUGAAUCCCUGCUCGUAUUUCUGGAAGGGGAUGGUGAGAAAGAGCAUUGCAUCUUUGAACUACUUUCAUCAGGCUGUUAAUCUGAAGCAUGGGGUCUCUGCUUAAUGAUCCCUGUGGCAGUGCCACAGGACCAAAUCACACCAACACAUCUAUGAGGAGACAUGGGUGGGCUAGAGGCACUGUCUACCUGGUCUAUUGCUGCUGCUUUAAGAAACAGAAUCUCAGGCUCUUCUCAGUAAUUGAAUCCCAUGGUGGGAAGAAAGGACACUAAAUUAAUAGAACAAAUCCCUACUCCCACCCCACCUCAGUGCAAUUCCCAGGAGUGCUUGCUAAUGAUCCUUGCCCUUCUGACCUUCACUUUUCGAACUUCAUUGGCUUGGAAUUCAGGUGUACAGUUGUGAUGGAUGAAGCCAAUACCGCCUGUAAGCUACAGGAUAAAAAGGGAUUACUAAGUGACCAGAGGCAGGACUGAAUGCCUUUGGGGAAAGGUGAUGGCAUCCUUGCUCCUACCCCCACACCCCAUGGGGCUCACCGCCAUUGCUAUGGCCAUCCCAGCCUCUGUGACUGUGUCCAUGGGAGAGGAAAUCAGUGGGGUCUUAAGAGUGAUUUUCUUGGUCAGAGCAGAAGUCAGGUCCUGAGGAGAUAAAGGUCAACCAGUGUGGGAAAGCAUCGCUUACAGCUCAAGGUGUUACUGGGUCCCCCACAAACAGGUACUUCUAUGACCUACAUGCUAACCAGUAACAUGAUCCCACAAAAUUCACCCCCAAACCCAAUCUGGUGAGGUAGCCAAGACCAGGUGACAGUAGCACCUUACCUCGCCUUGAUGUUCAGAACCCAAUUCCUGAUUAUACUCACCACCUGGUCUGCAGUGAAGUCGAUGUACCCAGGGAGAAUGAGAAAGUCACUGCGAGGGAAGGGAGUGAAUUGAGAGUAAAGCUCUCAGGCUUAUGGCUGGAUGAGAAUCUAUACUCCAUCCCCAUAGAUCAACCCGUAAGGCAUGUGGGCAGUGUCGCACUGACAGAGUCUGUGUGUCACAGGCACGGCACAGCACAAGGUGGAGAUGGGGACAGGGGACCUUUUCUGCCACCGAGCUGUCAUCAGUGCUCCUGGCACCCUGACAAUUACGUUUCUGGAGCAUGGAGUCUCCAGCCUGAAAUUCCAAGCACUAUUGAGAUGCUUCUCUGUACCCCAAGCCCCGCUCUAGAUGUCUCAAAGUGAGACCCUAAGGUGGGUGGCCAAUUGCCGGAACCUAUCCCCCACGCCCGCUCCCAAGAAGGCUUCACGGAAGCCCCCAUCUGGCCUUUUCGCCCAGUGUGCCGCCCCUCUCCUCGCCCAGCUGGGCCCCAUAAGGCCCGCACUUGUAAGUGAGGCCGUCUCCGCAGUUGAAGAGCUGCUGUGCUGUGAGUCCGUCGUCUGGCACGUAGGACGUGCCACCGCUAAUCAAGUAGUCGGCCAUGGCCAAAACAGGACACCGCCGCGUGUCUCCGAGGACCGCGCCGCAGAGACCUCUGCCGUCCGGGCCGCGCCAAUAUAAACCAGCCGAUUUCGUCACUGCGCUGCGCGCGACGCUGACGUCAGGGCGUAGCGCGCGCAGGCGGAGCCUAACAGCCUCGCGGCAUCGGCGACGAGACUGGUGCUGGAAAACCGGCGCAUGCGUACAGCAGGAAAUGGCCUACUAACUGAGGAGCUGCGGUUUCACAUCCCACCCCACUCCCUGCAGGACCCGGGCCCGUUCAAUUAACAGACAAGCCUUUGCUUCCACUGUCCCGCCGGGCUCCUCCCCAAAAUAAAGAGGCGUUGUUCACUAGCAUGUUGAAAAGACGUGCUUGUCAUUCUUAAUAAACAACUAGAGUAAGAAUACAUAAGAGAAACAGAGUGGUAUCUUUAUAUGAUACACAAGUGUAUGUUACAAGAAUUCCAUCAGGCACAGGAGCCUCAGGUUUUAAGGCCUCAAUGAUAGGCCCAAAAAAAAAAAAAA